Small nucleolar RNA from Oryctolagus cuniculus (rabbit), 129 nucleotides. Ensembl annotates it as small nucleolar RNA, H/ACA box 5A. Its record names the gene SNORA5A. Lineage: Eukaryota; Metazoa; Chordata; Mammalia; Lagomorpha; Leporidae. The record is from Ensembl.
UGCAGCCGUGUCAAAUUCGGCACCUGCCUGCCGUGGCGGACGCUGGCCCAGAAGGCUGCCACAGAAACAUGCGGCUCAUGGGCCCUGCCCCGCACUCGGGCUCAGGGAUAAGUUUGGUCGCAGACACGG